This 222-nucleotide ribosomal RNA is filed under the name uncultured bacterium. Its description in RNAcentral is "partial 16S ribosomal RNA". It matches the Rfam family "Bacterial small subunit ribosomal RNA", at positions 524 to 742 of the family's 1533-position model. The record is from RNAcentral.
UACGUAGGGUGCAGGCGUUAAUCGGAAUUACUGGGCGUAAAGCGUGCGCAGGCGGUUUGCUAAGACAGGUGUGAAAUCCCCGGGCUUAACCUGGGAACUGCGCUUGUAACUGGCAAGCUAGAGUGUGGCAGAGGGGGGUGGAAUUCCACGUGUGAGCAGUGAAAUGCGUAGAGAUGUGGGAGGAACACCAGUGGCGAAGGGCGGCUUUCUGGUCUGUAAACG